This 394-nucleotide ribosomal RNA is filed under the name Proteus mirabilis. RNAcentral's name for it is "bacterial SSU rRNA". It matches the Rfam family "Bacterial small subunit ribosomal RNA", at positions 72 to 470 of the family's 1533-position model. Lineage: Bacteria; Pseudomonadati; Pseudomonadota; Gammaproteobacteria; Enterobacterales; Morganellaceae. The record is from RNAcentral.
AAGCUUGCUUUCUUGCUGACGAGCGGCGGACGGGUGAGUAAUGUAUGGGGAUCUGCCCGAUAGAGGGGGAUAACUACUGGAAACGGUGGCUAAUACCGCAUAAUGUCUACGGACCAAAGCAGGGGCUCUUCGGACCUUGCACUAUCGGAUGAACCCAUAUGGGAUUAGCUAGUAGGUGGGGUAAAGGCUCACCUAGGCGACGAUCUCUAGCUGGUCUGAGAGGAUGAUCAGCCACACUGGGACUGAGACACGGCCCAGACUCCUACGGGAGGCAGCAGUGGGGAAUAUUGCACAAUGGGCGCAAGCCUGAUGCAGCCAUGCCGCGUGUAUGAAGAAGGCCUUAGGGUUGUAAAGUACUUUCAGCGGGGAGGAAGGUGAUAAGGUUAAUACCCUU